Molecule: ribosomal RNA, 249 nt
Filed under: Triticum aestivum (bread wheat)
Lineage: Eukaryota; Viridiplantae; Streptophyta; Magnoliopsida; Poales; Poaceae
Description: partial small subunit ribosomal RNA
Source: RNAcentral
AUGGCGUCGCGGCCGUCGCUGAAGUCGAAGCCGAAGGGCAAGGGUGGGAAGAGGGGCUCGUCCGCGGCCGAGGACGAGCAGUCCACCGCGGCGGUGGCGGUGCAGCUCGCCAAGGAGUGGAGCACGUGGACGAUGAAGACGGCGAAGGUGGUGGCGCACUGGGGCUUUAUCCCGCUCAUCAUCGUCGUCGGCAUGACUAAGGGAGACGAGCCCAAACCUAGCUUGCUCCAGCUUCUGUCCCCCGUCUGA